GAUGAAGAACGUAGCGAAAUGCGAUACGUAAUGUGAAUUGCAAAUUCAGUGAAUCAUCGAGUCUUUGAACGCACAUUGCGCCCCCUGGUAUUCCGGGGGGCAUGCCUGUCCGAGCGUCAUUGCUGCCCUCAAGCACGGCUUGUGUGUUGGGCCCCGUCCUCCGAUCCCGGGGGACGGGCCCGAAAGGCAGGGGCGGCACCGCGUCCGGUCCUCGAGCGUAUGGGGCUUUGUCACCCGCUCUGUAGGCCCGGCCGGCGCUUGCCGAUCAACCCAAAUUUUUUAUCCAGGUUGACCUCGGAUCAGGUAGGGAUACCCGCUGAACUUAAGCAUAUCAAUAAGCGGAGGA
RNAcentral lists this unclassified non-coding RNA (346 nucleotides) under soil metagenome. RNAcentral's name for it is "partial contains 5.8S ribosomal RNA, internal transcribed spacer 2, and large subunit ribosomal RNA". The stretch from base 1 to 119 matches the Rfam family "5.8S ribosomal RNA", at positions 35 to 154 of the family's 154-position model. The record is from RNAcentral.